This 253-nucleotide unclassified non-coding RNA is filed under the name uncultured delta proteobacterium. Its description in RNAcentral is "contains 16S-23S intergenic spacer region". It matches the Rfam family "Bacterial small subunit ribosomal RNA", at positions 524 to 776 of the family's 1533-position model. Lineage: Bacteria; Deltaproteobacteria. The record is from RNAcentral.
UACGGAGGGUGCAAGCGUUAUUCGGAUUUAUUGGGCGUGAAGCGCGCGUAGGCGGUUUAGUAAGUCUGAUGUGAAAGCCCACGACUCAAUCGUGGAAGUGCAUUGGAUACUGCUAGACUAGAGUACUGGAGGGGAGAACGGAAUUCCUGGUGUAGAGGUGAAAUUCGUAGAUAUCAGGAGGAACAACUGUGGCGAAGGCGGUUCUCUGGACAGUAACUGACGCUCAGGUGCGAAAGCGUGGGUAGCAAACAGG